RNAcentral lists this ribosomal RNA (253 nucleotides) under uncultured bacterium. RNAcentral describes it as "partial 16S ribosomal RNA". It matches the Rfam family "Bacterial small subunit ribosomal RNA", at positions 524 to 776 of the family's 1533-position model. The record is from RNAcentral.
UACGUAGGGGGCGAGCGUUGUCCGGAAUUAUUGGGCGUAAAGAGCGUGUAGGCGGUUCGGUAAGUCUGCCGGGAAAACCUGGGGCUCAACCCCGGGCGUGCGGUGGAUACUGCCGGGCUAGAGGGUGGUAGAGGCGAGUGGAAUUCCCGGUGUAGCGGUGAAAUGCGCAGAUAUCGGGAGGAACACCAGUAGCGAAGGCGGCUCGCUGGGCCAUUCCUGACGCUGAGACGCGAAAGCUAGGGGAGCGAACAGG